GGGGCUGAUUCUGGAUUCGACGGGAUUUGCGAAACCCAAGGUGCAUGCCGAGGGGCGGUUGGCCUCGUAAAAAGCCGCAAAAAAUAGUCGCAAACGACGAAAACUACGCUUUAGCAGCUUAAUAACCUGCUUAGAGCCCUCUCUACCUAGCCUCCGCUCUUAGGACGGGGAUCAAGAGAGGUCAAACCCAAAAGAGAUCGCGUGGAAGCCCUGCCUGGGGUUGAAGCGUUAAAACUUAAUCAGGCUAGUUUGUUAGUGGCGUGUCCGUCCGCAGCUGGCAAGCGAAUGUAAAGACUGACUAAGCAUGUAGUACCGAGGACGUAGGAAUUUCGGACGCGGGUUCAACUCCCGCCAGCUCCACCA
RNAcentral lists this transfer-messenger RNA (363 nucleotides) under Escherichia coli. It matches the Rfam family "transfer-messenger RNA". Rfam says of the family: Bacterial tmRNA, also known as 10Sa RNA or SsrA, is named for its dual tRNA and mRNA-like properties. Its role is to liberate the mRNA from a stalled ribosome. Lineage: Bacteria; Pseudomonadati; Pseudomonadota; Gammaproteobacteria; Enterobacterales; Enterobacteriaceae. The record is from RNAcentral.